This 439-nucleotide ribosomal RNA is filed under the name uncultured bacterium. Its description in RNAcentral is "partial 16S ribosomal RNA". It matches the Rfam family "Bacterial small subunit ribosomal RNA", at positions 339 to 795 of the family's 1533-position model. The record is from RNAcentral.
CUACGGGACGCUGCAGUGGGGAAUUUUGCGCAUUGGGGGGAACCCUGACGCAGCAAUACCGCGUGAGUGAAGAAGGCCUUUGGGUCGUAAAGCUCUUUUCUGAAGGAAGAUAGUGACGGUACUUCAGGAAUAAGCACCGGCUAACUCCGUGCCAGCAGCCGCGGUAAUACGGAGGGUGCGAGCGUUGUUCGGAUUUACUGGGCGUAAAGGGCACGUAGGCGGCCUGGCAAGUUAAGGGUGAAAUCCCGGGGCUUAACUCCGGAACUGCUCUUAAAACUGCCAAGCUAGAGAUAGUCAGAGGCGGGUGGAAUUCCUGGUGUAGAGGUGAUAUUCGUAGAUAUCAGGAGGAACACCGGUGGCGAAGGCGGCCCGCUGGGGCUAUUCUGACGCUAAGGUGCGAAAGCGUGGGGAGCGAACGGGAUUAGAUACCCGUGUAGUC